This 1521-nucleotide ribosomal RNA is filed under the name Salmonella enterica subsp. enterica. Its description in RNAcentral is "bacterial SSU rRNA". It matches the Rfam family "Bacterial small subunit ribosomal RNA". The record is from RNAcentral. Lineage: Bacteria; Pseudomonadati; Pseudomonadota; Gammaproteobacteria; Enterobacterales; Enterobacteriaceae.
AAAUUGAAGAGUUUGAUCGCGGCUCAGAUUGAACGCUGGCGGCAGCCUACCACAUGCAAGUCGAACGGUAACAGGAAGCAGCUUGCUGCUUUGCUUAUCGAGCGGCGGACGGGUAGGUGCGUCUGGAAACCGCCCAUUGAGGGAUAACUACUGGAAACGUGCUACCACCGCAUAACGUCGCAAGACCAAAGAGGGGGACCUUCGGGCCCUUGCCAUCAGGAUGUGUGCCCAGAUGGAUUAGUUAGUUGGUGAGGUAACGGUCACCAAGGCGACGAUCCCUAGCUGGUCUGAGAGGAUGACCAGCCACACUGGAACUGAGACGGUCCAGACUCCUACGGAGGCAGUGGGGGACAUAAAACAAUGGGCGCAAUUCCAUGCAGCCAUGCCGUGCGUGGGCGAAGAAGGCCUUCGGGUUGUAAAGUUACCUUCAGCGGGGAGUGAAGGUGUUGUGGUUAAUAACCGCAGCAAUUGACGUUACCCGCAGGAAGGGUGCUGCACCGGCUAACUCCGUGCCAGCAGCCGCGGUAAUGAGCGAGGUGCGCGUUAAUUCCGAAUUACUGGCGUAAAAGCGCACGCAGGCGGUCCGUCGUCGGAUGUGAAACUCGCUCAAACUCCGGAACUGCAUUCGAAACUGGCAGGCUUGAGUCUUAGAGGGGGUAGAAUUCGUGUAGCGGUGAAAUGCGUAGAGAUCUGGAGGAAUACUGGUGGCGAAGGCGGCCCUCGGACAAAGACCGACGCUCAGGUGCGAAAGCGUGGGAGCAAACAGGAUUAGAUAAUACCCCGUAGUCCACGCCGUAAACGAUGUCUACUUGGAGGUUGUGCCCUGAGGCGUGGCUUCCGAGCACCAACGCGUUAAGUAGACCGCCCGGGAGUACGGCCGCAAGGUUAAAACUCAAAUGAAUUGACGGGGUCCGCACAAGCGGUGGAUACGUGGUUUAAUUCGAUGCAACGCGAAGAACCUUACCCGGGUCUCUGACAUCCACGGAAGUUUUCAGAGAUGAGAAUGUGCCUUCGGGAACCGUGAGACAGGUGCUGCAUGGCUGCUGUCGUCAGCUCGUAAGCUGUGAAAUGCUGGGUUAAGUCCCGCAACGAGCGCAACCCCAUCCUUGCCAGCGAUUAGGUCGGGAACUCAAAGGAGACUGCCAGUGAUAAACUGGAGGGAAGGUGGGGAUGACGUCAAGUCAUCAUGGCCUUACGACCAAAAGGCUGGCCAUCAUCGUGCUACAAUGGCGCAUACAAAGAGAAGCGACCUCGCGAGACAAGCGGACCUCAUAAGUGCGUCGUAGUCCGGAUUGAGUCUGCAACUCGACCCAUGAAGCCGGAAUCGCGCAGUAAUCGUGAUCAGAAUGCCACGGUGAAUACGUUCCCGGGCCUUGUACACCGCCCGUCACACCAUGUAGCGGUUGCAAAAGAAGUAGGUAGCUUAACCUUCGAGGGGCGCUUACCAAUUUUGCAUUCAUGACUGGGGUGAAGUCGUAACAAGGUGUAACCGUAGGGAACCUGCGGUUGAUCACCUCCUUA